Molecule: non-coding RNA, 860 nt
Organism: Danio rerio (zebrafish)
Lineage: Eukaryota; Metazoa; Chordata; Actinopteri; Cypriniformes; Danionidae
Source: RefSeq, a predicted model, not a curated record
UGUGUUAAGUGUUCAUCAGCCUGAUAGUCUGAGGGAAGAAACUUUCCUUUAGCCGGCUGGUGCGUAACCAGAUGCUGCGGAACCAUCUGCCUGAGGGUAGCAGACGGUUUUGUCUGUAUAAUUGUACAUGUUAAACUAAUUUAAAUUAGAAGUCCACUAAAUGUUCAUUAACUAAAGUCACAGCAAAAGGUGCUACAAUUAAAGUAGAAAUGCCAAAGUUCCACUGCUUUUUCUGUGACAGCUGUAGGGCUCGUCGGGGGAUUGAACCCAGGACCUCUCGCAUCCUAAGCGAGAAUCAUACCCCUUGACAAACGAGCCCUGAAGAAAGACCCUGCUGUGCCAAAAAAAAUUCUUACUUUUUUAUAAAUACUUUUUGUUCUUGUUGUUUUUAGUAUGUGCCACCUGGGUUGUCUUUGAUGCAGUCCCUUUUAAGUUGGCUGUGCAGCACAAUCCACAAUAGCGAUCUGCUAAAAAGAUUCAGAGUGAGCUUCUGUUUAGAAUACAGUUAAAAGCAUCAGUCUGCAAUAUUAGAAAACCAGUAAAACAACUCAGGUGGACCUAUAGAAAGCCAGGCUAUUUGCUUUAUACGAGCUUACAUGUCCUACAAAUUUAUUAAUAGGACAUACCCUAUUAAUAAACCGCCAUGUUGUGAAACCGAAAGCAAAGCAUCCAGUAAAAAUUCAUGUCUGGGGAGCCAUAUUCCAUCAGGGACCUGGACCGCUAGUUGUGUUAGAAGGAAUUAUGGACAGAUGUUUUUACGAAGACACUAUAAUAAAAUUCAAUCAGGCUCCAUACGUAAAACAACACUUUAAGAACCAUAUCACUUCUUCCAAGGUAGAUACAGUAUGUAGGCCUACUGU